This 69-nucleotide transfer RNA is filed under the name Brookesia betschi. RNAcentral describes it as "tRNA-Ile". The record is from RNAcentral. Lineage: Eukaryota; Metazoa; Chordata; Lepidosauria; Squamata; Chamaeleonidae.
GGAAAAGUGCCCGAGGACCCAGGGAUUACUUUGAUAAAGUAAAAACAGAGACAUAUCUCUCUUCUCCCA